GAUGAACGCUAGCUACAGGCUUAACACAUGCAAGUCGAGGGGCAGCAUUCUGAUAGCUUGCUAUCAGUGAUGGCGACCGGCGCACGGGUGAGUAACGCGUAUCCAACCUGCCUGUCACUCAGGAAUAGCCCGGUGAAAACCGGAUUAAGUCCUGAUGAUAUCAUUAGAGGGCAUCUGACGAUGAUUAAAGGUUACGGUGACGGAUGGGGAUGCGUCUGAUUAGCUUGUUGGCGGGGUAACGGCCCACCAAGGCGACGAUCAGUAGGGGUUCUGAGAGGAAGGUCCCCCACAUUGGAACUGAGACACGGUCCAAACUCCUACGGGAGGCAGCAGUGAGGAAUAUUGGUCAAUGGACGAGAGUCUGAACCAGCCAAGUAGCGUGCAGGAUGACGGCCCUAUGGGUUGUAAACUGCUUUUANAAGGGAUAAAGUGGGAGUCGUGACUCCUUUUGCAUGUACCUUAUGAAUAAGGACCGGCUAAUUCCGUG
This 487-nucleotide ribosomal RNA is filed under the name uncultured bacterium. RNAcentral describes it as "bacterial SSU rRNA". It matches the Rfam family "Bacterial small subunit ribosomal RNA", at positions 28 to 507 of the family's 1533-position model. The record is from RNAcentral.